Molecule: long non-coding RNA, 207 nt
Filed under: Nicotiana benthamiana
Lineage: Eukaryota; Viridiplantae; Streptophyta; Magnoliopsida; Solanales; Solanaceae
Description: long non-coding RNA (NBEN_LNC004770)
Source: RNAcentral
GGACAUAUAGCCUCAGCUAAAUCCUUUCUCAGUACCAAUAGUAGCAGAAUCCAGAAAUUAACACCAUUCACUUGAGUUCAAAGCACACCUAACUUUAAAAUAACACAAAUUCAUAAAAAAUCUAACUCAAGCUCGUAAACCUCAAAUCUAGCUAAUUCAUACCUAAAUAACACACAAUUAUAUAGCUAUGACUAAAAUCAAUCAGUC